RNAcentral lists this ribosomal RNA (253 nucleotides) under uncultured bacterium. RNAcentral describes it as "partial 16S ribosomal RNA". It matches the Rfam family "Bacterial small subunit ribosomal RNA", at positions 524 to 776 of the family's 1533-position model. The record is from RNAcentral.
UACGUAGGGUGCAAGCGUUGUCCGGAAUUAUUGGGCGUAAAGAGCUCGUAGGCGGUUAGUCGCGUCUGCUGUGAAAACUCGGGGCUUAACUCCGGGCCUGCAGUGGGUACGGGCUGGCUAGAGUCCGGAAGAGGAGAGUGGAAUUCCUGGUGUAGCGGUGAAAUGCGCAGAUAUCAGGAAGAACACCCGUGGCGAAGGCGGCUCUCUGGUACGUGACUGACGCUGAGACGCGAAAGCGUGGGGAGCGAACAGG